Molecule: ribosomal RNA, 950 nt
Filed under: Plasmodium knowlesi
Lineage: Eukaryota; Apicomplexa; Aconoidasida; Haemosporida; Plasmodiidae
Description: SSU rRNA
Rfam family: Eukaryotic small subunit ribosomal RNA
Source: RNAcentral
CUUGAUUUAUUUCUUGAGUGUGUACUUGUUAAGCCUUAUAAGAAAAGAGUUAUUAACUUAAGGAAUUAUAACAAAGAAGUAACACGUAAUGGAUUAGUCCAUUUUUAGUGUGUAUCAAUCGAGUUUCUGACCUAUCAGCUUUUGAUGUUAGGGUAUUGGCCUAACAUGGCUAUGACGGGUAACGGGGAAUUAGAGUUCGAUUCCGGAGAGGGAGCCUGAGAAAUAGCUACCACAUCUAAGGAAGGCAGCAGGCGCGUAAAUUACCCAAUUCUAAAGAAGAGAGGUAGUGACAAGAAAUAACAAUACAAGGCCAAUCUGGCUUUGUAAUUGGAAUGAUGGGAAUUUAAAACCUUCCCAAAAUUCAAUUGGAGGGCAAGUCUGGUGCCAGCAGCCGCGGUAAUUCCAGCUCCAAUAGCGUAUAUUAAAAUUGUUGCAGUUAAAACGCUCGUAGUUGAAUUUCAAAGAAUCGAUAUUUUAAGUAACGCUUUUAGCUAUAUAUCCACAUAACUGAUGCCUCUGCGUAUCGACUUUGUGUGCAUUUUAGCUAUUAUGUGUUCUUUUAAUUAAAAUGAUUCUUUUUAAGAUUCAUCUAUAAAAAAUUUGCUUCGGCAUAAUUUUUUUUGAUGAUCUUGUUACUUUGAGUAAAUUAGAGUGUUCAAAGCAAACAGAUAUAGCAUUUGUGCGUUUGAAUACUACAGCAUGGAAUAACAAAAUUGAACAAGUCAGAAUUUUUUUGUUCUUUUUUCUUAUUUUGGCUUAGUUACGAUUAAUAGGAGUAGCUUGGGGGCAUUUGUAUUCAGAUGUCAGAGGUGAAAUUCUUAGAUUUUCUGGAGACAAACAACUGCGAAAGCAUUUGCCUAAAAUACUUCCAUUAAUCAAGAACGAAAGUUAAGGGAGUGAAGACGAUCAGAUACCGUCGUAAUCUUAACCAUAAACUAUGCCGACUAGGC